CGGCUAGAUCACGUUGAAACACCAGUUCCCGUACGAUCACCGAAUUUAAGCAAUGUUAAACUUGGUCUGUACCUAGAUGGGUGACCGCUUGAGAAUACUAAGU
Acanthosepion pharaonis is the source of this 103-nucleotide non-coding RNA. The record is from the annotation of a GenBank genome assembly. Lineage: Eukaryota; Metazoa; Mollusca; Cephalopoda; Sepiida; Sepiidae.